AGCGAACGCUGGCGGCAGGCUUAACACAUGCAAGUCGAGCGGGCAUCUUCGGAUGUCAGCGGCAGACGGGCGAGUAACACGUGGGAACGUACCCUUCGGUUCGGAACAACUCUGGGAAACUGGAGCUAAUACCGGAUACGCCCUUAUGGGGAAAGGUUUACUGCCGUAGGAUCGGCCCGCGUCUGAUUAGCUAGUUGGUGGGUAACGGCCUACCAAGGCGACGAUCAGUAGCUGGUCUGAGAGGAUGAUCAGCCACACUGGGACUGAGACACGGCCCAGACUCCUACGGGAGGCAGCAGUGGGGAAUAUUGGACAAGGGGCGCAAGCCUGAUCAAGCCAUGCCGCGUGAGUGAUGAAGGCCUUAGGGUUGUAAAGCUCUUUUGUCCGGGACGAUAAUGACGGUACCGGAAGAAUAAGCCCCGGCUAACUUCGUG
RNAcentral lists this ribosomal RNA (434 nucleotides) under uncultured bacterium. Its description in RNAcentral is "partial 16S ribosomal RNA". It matches the Rfam family "Bacterial small subunit ribosomal RNA", at positions 29 to 507 of the family's 1533-position model. The record is from RNAcentral.